UCCUGCUGUUUCCUCCUAUAUAAAGGUGACUUCCGACACUCCGGCAAUUCUGGCCUCUCCAGCCUCUUGCCUUUCUUCUGAGGGGAGCCUUUUAUCCUGCUGAUAUUAUGGAAUAUGAAAACACACAAAAUGUCUAUACAGUCAAGAUAACCUGUGGAAAAAUAAUGAAGACAGUGGAGGAAAGGCAAAAUGGUAAAGAAGAGAAGAGAGAGAAACAAAAUAAUCAUUUUCCAGCCUACCUAAAAUAAUAACCUGGACUUUCAUAAAACUGGCAUAUCUUCUGUUUUACAUGGAAAAUUAUUUUAUCUUAAGUUUCCAUUUAGUUGAUUAAAAAUAGGGUUAUGAAUGUUAAAUAAGUGAUGAUUUAUUGCAAAGGAAAUAUGUUUCGAAAGGUCGAAUAAUGUCUGUAACAAUAAAAGGCAAACUAAAUGAU
Molecule: long non-coding RNA, 433 nt
Filed under: Homo sapiens (human)
Lineage: Eukaryota; Metazoa; Chordata; Mammalia; Primates; Hominidae
Description: HSALNT0348429
Source: RNAcentral